RNAcentral lists this ribosomal RNA (433 nucleotides) under uncultured bacterium. RNAcentral's name for it is "partial 16S ribosomal RNA". It matches the Rfam family "Bacterial small subunit ribosomal RNA", at positions 29 to 507 of the family's 1533-position model. The record is from RNAcentral.
AACGAACGCUGGCGGCAUGCCUAACACAUGCAAGUCGAACGAGACCUUCGGGUCUAGUGGCGCACGGGUGCGUAACACGUGGGAAUCUGCCCUUUGCUUCGGAAUAACAGUUAGAAAUGACUGCUAAUACCGGAUGAUGUCGAAAGACCAAAGAUUUAUCGGCAAAGGAUGAGCCCGCGUAGGAUUAGGUAGUUGGUGGGGUAAAGGCCUACCAAGCCGACGAUCCUUAGCUGGUCUGAGAGGAUGAUCAGCCACACUGGGACUGAGACACGGCCCAGACUCCUACGGGAGGCAGCAGUGGGGAAUAUUGGACAAUGGGCGAGAGCCUGAUCCAGCAAUGCCGCGUGAGUGAUGAAGGCCUUAGGGUUGUAAAGCUCUUUUACCAGGGAUGAUAAUGACAGUACCUGGAGAAUAAGCUCCGGCUAACUCCGUG